This is a non-coding RNA of Trichomalopsis sarcophagae, 45 nucleotides long. The record is from Rfam. Lineage: Eukaryota; Metazoa; Arthropoda; Insecta; Hymenoptera; Pteromalidae.
CAAUCGGCCCUUUUUAGGGCCAUUAACAAUAUGUCUUACGUAGAA